GACGGACUCGCGCAACUCUCUAUCCAGGUCUUGACACCCACGCCAAUCGGGGAGUCGUUUCCCGCGUAAACUUUGUUGCCAUCCUCGAGCUUCUCCAACGAUAAACUAAUGUCAGAUCUGAACGAACGAAAGACUGUGGAUUAUGUGAUUGUUGGGACAGAUAUAUUCGUAUUGGCGAAGAUUUCUCUGUCGGUAAUAUGGUCUAUCUUAGAUGUGGACAGAUUUUCCUGCGCGAUUCUCGAGUCAGUACAGGGGCUGAACGAGAUAUUUCAUCAUAAAUAAACUGUUCAUUUUAUAUGGCAAAUGUAUCUAUAGAAAACAAAAUAUUACGAAAUAUGAUUACGUAAUGAAUUGAUGGGAGGCGUGCCGAUCACGUGAAACAUCGAGCCAUUCUCUGGACAACUUUUCCCAGUGUUUAUGGAAGCUGUAUAAUUAAUAUUCCCGAGUCCAGCCAAGCUGAGGGAGGUCCUCGGAGGACGAUAAUAGGGGCUGGGUC
This is a long non-coding RNA of Hylaeus volcanicus, 496 nucleotides long. RefSeq lists it as uncharacterized. NCBI's taxonomy places the organism in Eukaryota, Metazoa, Arthropoda, Insecta, Hymenoptera, Colletidae. The record is from RefSeq and is a predicted model, not a curated record. The transcript has 3 exons.